GUCUAUGGCCAUACCACCCUGAAUGCACCCCCCGCCAUCUCGUCUGAUCUUGGAAGCUAAGCAGGGUCAGGUCUGGUUAGUACUUGGAUGGGAGAGAUACAGGACUUCAAAACA
Molecule: ribosomal RNA, 114 nt
Organism: Cavia porcellus (domestic guinea pig)
Lineage: Eukaryota; Metazoa; Chordata; Mammalia; Rodentia; Caviidae
Source: Ensembl